Dama dama (fallow deer) is the source of this 7690-nucleotide long non-coding RNA. RefSeq lists it as uncharacterized. NCBI's taxonomy places the organism in Eukaryota, Metazoa, Chordata, Mammalia, Artiodactyla, Cervidae. The transcript is spliced from 4 exons. The record is from RefSeq and is a predicted model, not a curated record.
GUAGGGAUGAGAGACGAGGCACGUGAUUCCUGACGCACUUAGGCCGGUGGGGCGGGGCGGGAAGCGCUGGUGGUGCCAGCAAAUGGGCGCCCUCUCCCGUCCCUCAGAGACCACUCAGUUCAGUCAAGUCUAAAUUUGUUGAAAUCUCUUGCUGGCCAAUGAUCAAGGAUCAUUCCAAGCUGAGUUUUCUUUAAGACUGUUAUACAGAUGAAGUAUCUGUAAGUUGUUUUUUAUUUUAAAUUUUAGAAGUCAUAUGUAGUAAAUAUAGAAUAUUCUCAACUAGUACAUCUAACAGAAUUUAAAGUAUUUUUUUAAACACCUGCUACUUAAUGAAGAUGCUUUACAUCCAUCAUCUACUGAGCACUUUUCCAGGCUCUGGAGGACAUGAAAAAAGGUAUAAUAUACAACACUGAUUGUCAUGAAGAUGCCUUGAAAGUUACACAGCACAGGAGGAGUGUGAUAGCCCUUUCAGUUGGUAAUCUUCCUGUCAUGAAAGUUGCUUGCCACCUUUACUUUUGAGUGAACACAGUAAACACCUAGGUGAAAAUAUCAAUGAAAAAAAUCUACUCUCCAUACUAUGUAUAUUUCCCUAUAUGUUCUGAACCUGCUUAUAGCCACCUACCACAGUAGUCUGUAGUUUCUGUUUGCCAAACUAUUAAAAGUCUUAGUUAAAAUCAUCUAUUUUUUCUGCUGUUCUACCUUGACUUUCCCUUCAGCUCUUGCUCCUCAGGAUUGAGAUGUGGAAAGAUCCUUCUGUCCUUUACCACACAGUUCCUUUGUCAGGAAUUCCAGGAUUUCCUCCAAGUUUGCAAAGUACAUCAUGGAAAUACUGGGCUGGAUAAAGCAUAAGCUGGAAGCAAGAUUGCAGGGAGAAAUAUCAAUAACCUGAGAUAUGCAGAUGGCACCACCCUUAUGGCAGAACGUGAAGAACUAUAGAGCCUCUUGAUGAAAGUGAAAGAGGAGAGUGAAAAAGUUGGCUUAAAGCUCAACAUUCAGAAAAGUAAGAUCAUGGCAUCUGGUCCCAUCACUUUGAGGCAAAUAGAUGGAGAAACAGUGGAAACAGUGGCUGACUUUAUUUUUUGGGCUCCAAAGUCACUGCAGAUGGUGACUGCCACCAUGAAAUUAAAAGAUGCUUACUCCUUGGAAGUAAAGUUAUGACCAACCUGCUGCUGCUGCUAAGUCGCUUCAGUCAUGGCUGACACUGUGCGACCUCAUAGACGGCAGCCCACCAGGCUCCCCCGUCCCUGGGAUUCUCCAGUUAAGCACACUGCAGUGGGUUGCCAUUUCCUUCUCCAAUGCAUGAAAGUGAAAAGUGAAAGUGAAGUCGCUCAGUCGUGUCCGACUCCUAGUGACCCCAUGGACUGCAGCCUACCAGGCUCCUCCGUCCAUGGGAUUUUCCAGGCAAGAGUACUGGAGUGGGUUGCCAUUGCCUUCUCUAUAUGACCAACCUAGACAACAUUAAAAAGCAGAGACAUUACUUUGUCAACAAAGGUCCGUCUAGUCAAGGCUGUGGUUUUUCCAGCAGUCAUGUGAGGGUAUAAGAAUUAGACUAUAAAGAAAGCUCAGCACCAAAUAAUUGAUGCUUUUGAACUAUGGUGUUGGAGAAGACUCUUGAGAGUUGCUUGGACUGCAAGGAGAUCCAACCAGUCCAUCCUAAAGGAGAUCGGUCCUAGGUGUUCAUUGUAAGGACUGAUAUUGAAGCUGAAACUCCAAUACUUUGGCCACCUCAUGCGAAGAACUGACUCAUUUGAAAAGACCUGAUGCUGGGAAAGAUUGAGGGCAGGAGGAGAAGAGGACGAGAGGAUGAGAUGGUUGGAUGGCAUCACCGACUCAAUGGAUAUGAGUUUGUGUAAACUCCGGGAGUUGAUGAUGGACAGGGAGCCCUGGUGUGCUGUGGUUCAUGUGUUGGUAGAGUCAGAUUUGACUGAGCGACUGAACUGAACUGAUACAUAACAAAAGUUUAUCAUUAAGCAUAGAGUUCAGUGGCCUUAAGUAUAUCCACAUUGUUGUGUGACUGUUAACCACCAUCCAUCUGCAGAACUUUUUUAUUUUUCCAAACGAAAACUCUAUACCGAUUAAAAAAUUCCUUAUUUCCUCUCCCUACCCUGAACUAAUUAUUUUAAGUUUAUCUAUUUUUGUAUCUGUUUACCUGUUUUGCUUGCUAUUAUUAUAAAUGAGUAUAUAUUGAAUACUACGUAUAUGUAUGGAGCUGGGCCAGAUCAGGGUGAAGUUACAUUUAUAAGGGAGGCUGAGCAGUUUGCCAUUAGGUGGUUUCCUGGCUGACAGACUUGUAUCAUAUUCUUGAUCUUACAUCUGCACUCCAGUCCGUGAAAUGUGCAGAAGUACAUAAGCUGUUUUUUGUUUCAGAGUUUACCAGGAAAAUGCCUAAUUUUACCAGUCUGACAAUUCUAAGUCAAGAUUCAACUGAAAUAUUGCUUUGAUUUCAUCUGAUAUCUUGAGUACUUGAAUGAACAUAUUUACAAAAUUGCUAAAUGUAAAAUGAAUGGUAGCUUGAUUAUUUUUUUAACGCCUGGAAAAAUUUAUAUAUUUAUAUAUUUGAGGUGUCCUUGUUUUCAUUCUUUCUCUCUUUUUUUCCUUUGUUAUGUUCAAGUGCACCUCUUCCUUCUCCUGCCCUGUUGGUUACCUAUUUCUCAUGGUUUUUACUUUUAGUCUUUUGCUUAGAAAUCUCACUUUUUUCAGUUCACCGAUGUCUUUGUGAGAAAAUAACUCCUAAGUCUUUAUAGUUGCCACUUGAACAAUAUGUGUUUGAACUGCGUGGAUUCACUUUUAUGUUGAGUUUUUAAUAAUAGUACACAAUUUGUGACUGGUUGAAUCUACAGGUACAAAACUACAGAUACCGAGGGCUGACUAUAAAGUACACGGGUUUUUGACUGGAUGGAGGAUUGGUACCCGUAACUCCAUGUUGUUUAAGGGUCAACUGCAUUCUUAACCCGAAGUCAUAGUUCUGAAUCUAGAACUGUCCUGAAAUUUUCUCUUAUGUGAUCUGGUAUCACCUCAAAUAUAUCUAAUAUUGGACUUAACAUUUUUCCUGCCACUUUAAUCCUCCUCUUUUCUCUUUUUUUUAAAAAAAAAAAAAUAGCACUGCUAUUUUUGUCAUUACCUAAGUUUGACAUUUAGCAGUGAUUUGCUGUUUCUUUCUGAAUUCAACUAGUCACCAAAUCCUACCAACUGUUUCUUUUAUUAUGAUCAUUGUCACAUAUGACCCUUUCCAUUUUUAUUGUACUCUAGCCAAUAUAGGGCCUAAUCAGCUGAUACCUAGGUUACUGCAGUUGUCCCCUACUGAUAGAGUUUUUCUCUUGAGUCCCUUGUACCACUUUUUUUUUUCCUGUAAUUCUCACAUAAAAAUUGUGAAUGUCUGUUUUGGAUUAUAGUUAAUUAUGUCCCACUGCUGUCUUUUUAGUCUUUGUACUCCCCAGAAGCCUUGCAACAACUGAGUGACUGAACUGGAAUGUUUUUAAGAAUAUGGUAUUCUUACGAAUAUUGUAUAAUUAUGUAUUUUGUACAGCAUUGCCAUGUUCUUUCAUUCAUUUAACAAAUAUUUAUUGAGUGCUUAUUAUGUACCAAGGAUGUGUAGCUUCGAAGGGUAUAAUAAUCUUAUAGCAAUCAAUAAUCAAACAAAAACUUAUGACUCUGGUGGCUUAUAUUCCAGUGAGGUCGUGCAAUGACAAAGGAGCAAAAUGCAUAAUGUCUUAGAUGGUGAUAACUGAAAAGGAGAAAAAAAUAAAUGAAGUGGGGAAAUAGGGAGUAUUGAGGGUGAAAGGUUGACAUUUUGGAUAAGGUCCUAGGAAGGCCCUUCUGUAAAGGUGGCAUUUCAGUAAAGACUUGAAGAAAAUGAGUGGGAAAGGCAGCAAAUAUCUGAGGAAAAGAGGUUUCCAAGCAAAGGGAGCAGCAAGUGCAAAGGUCCUCAGAUGCAAGCAUGUCUGGCAUGUUUGAAUAUUAGGGAGGAGUAGAGUGAGCUGGAAGAUGGGUAAUAUUAAUAGAAAUCAAAGGUAUAUAUUAGGAAGAUAGGUAUAGAGUGGAAAAAUACAGGUUGAGUGGGGCCUUGUAGGACACAAUUAGGAGUGUGUUUUUUUUUUUUCUCUGAAUGAAAUGUUUAGCCUUGGGAAGAUUUUGAAGUUAACAAGUGACAAGAUCCUUUUUGUUAAUAGAAUCAUUCUGGCAGCUAUAAUUGAAAAGAAAGAGGAAGCAGGAGAUCAGAUAGGAGCUAUGACCCAGAUCUCAGUGAGAGAUCCUAGAGGCUCAGACAUCAGUGAUAGCAGUGGCAGUCGUGAGAGGCAUUCUGGUUUGGGAUGUGGUUGAAGUAGAACCAGUAGAAUUUUCUGGUGGGUUGGAUGUGAAACAUGAGGGGAAAUGGACAGUCAAGGAUUAUUUGAAGUUCUUUUGGCCUGAGCAGCUGAAGAAUGGAGUUACUAUUAACUGAGAUACAGGUGCCUCUGAGAGGAGCAGGUUUGGUAGUGGGUUGGGCUUCCCUUGUGGCUCAGAGGAUAAAGCAUCUGCCUGCAAUGCAGGAGACCCAGGUUCGAUCCCUGGGUUGGAAAGAUCCCCUGGAGAAGAAAAUGGCAACCCAUUCCAGUAUUCUUGCCUGGAGAAUCCCAUGGACAGAGGAGCCUGGUGAGCUACAGUCCAUGGGGUCGCAAAGAGUUGGACACGACUGAGUGACUUCACUUUGUUAGGAGUUAAGAUCUGUACGUGCUCAGUUUGUGAUCCCAGCUUGACAUCCAAGCAGAGCAAAACUGUCCAGGUUCAGGUGGGUAUGAAAGUCAAAGUCACUCAGUCAUGUCCAGAUAUUGGCGACCCCUGGAAUUCUGCAGGCCAGAAUACUGGAGCCGGUAGCCUUUCUCUUCUCCAACGUCUCCCCAACCCAGGGAUCAAACACAGGUCUCCCGCAUUGUAGGCAGAUUCUUUACCAGACCCAGGUCUCCCACACUGCAGGUGGAUUCUUUACCAGCUGAGCCACAAGGGAAGCCAGGAAUACUUGAGUGAGUAGCCUAUCUCUUCUCCAGCAGGUCUUCUUGACCCGGGAAUCGAACCUGAGUCUCCUGAAUUGCAGGCAGAUUCUUUACCAACUGAGCUAUCAGGGAAGCCCUAUUAGACUGAAAUCUAGGAAUCAGGUCUGGGAGUCAUCAGAAUUGAGAUAGUGUUUAAAACUAUGAGACUGAGUCAUCAGGAAAUGAAUGUAGUAACAAAAGAUUAAACUUUUUGAAAUAAACUAUUUGAAAUACCCUGUAUCUCUGCUUAGUACAUACCUUGAAAGGCUCCAGGUUCUCAUGCCUUUCACAGUUAGUCUAGUAUAAAUCUCUUCGAUCAGUCACACUGGAUACUUGCUGAAGAUCUCCUUUAUCCUGUCACCACAGAAUGAUCUAUUUCUUUUCCAAACACCAAUUAUUCUUUCAUUUUGUGAAAGUCUGCAUCUUGAUUCCACUCCCCCUUUAUCUUGUCUGUGUUGUGAAGUUCAUUAUAUUUUUAUACGUGUCCUUUUUUCCUCUAAUAAGCUAAUGAAAUCUGUAGCAGGAGCCAUGAUUUUUAAUAUUUUCUACAAUGAUCAGAAGCUCAGAUCUCCUCCUCAAGGGAUAUCUUUGGAGAAAGCCUUUACAAACAUUAGAAACCCAGGGGAAGCAAGGCUGUUUAGAAGCAUCUGGACAUUAAUUUUGGUUCCUCCCAUUACAUAAAAAGUUGUGAUUGUGAUCGCCAGAUGUACGCUGUUGACACUAUGUAUAAAAUAGAUAACUAAUGAGAACCUACUGAGAGAGUCACUUCCUAGGCAGUUUGAUGAGAAGUCUGGGGUCCCCGAGGAGGAGAGAGGGUCCUGGGGUUCUCAAAGAGGAGAUAGGGGUCUGGAAUUCUCAAGAAGGAAGAAAGACCAACUCUUUUUUUUUUUUUUCUUCCCCUCUACUUUCCUUAGUCUUAGUCACAUAAAAUGUUUUUUUCUUCAAGCCCGGAAUUGAUGAUUACACAACAAACAACUCAGUUUAAACUGAGGAUAAUAUACCAACAAUGUAUUCUGCUUGAGGACAGUUUCUCCUUCCUGAAAACCUUCUGACUAAUCUUGUUAUUGUAAAGUGUUUAUUAUGGGACUGGGUCAGGUAGGAUCUUUCUUUUUUUAAGUUCUAAUCCUGUUAUCCUAAAAUAUAAAUUGUGGGAGUAGGUCUGGUAAAAUUUUUACAACCUUGAGACAUUCUUUUGAUUUAUUGUAAUAACUAAUUAAAAAAGUAUAUGAUUCCCUUGCUAAAGACUAGCGAGUGGGGCACUCUCCACCUCCUUCCCCUGUCUAUCGUCAGAAGGUUUCUCUGUCUUUUUUCACUGUAAUAAAACUUCUGCCACACAAGAGCCCUGUGUGGUCAAGCCUGGUCUCUGGUCCUGAAGCUAAAUCUUUGGAGAUCGCGAAUCCGACAUCGUUCACUGUAAGCUGUCACUACUCCAUAGCACGGGGAGCUCUGCUCAGUGUUCUGUGCUGACUUAAAUGGGAAGGAAAUCCAAAAAAGCGGAGAUACGUGUAUGUAUAAAGCUGAUUCAGAGAGCAGCCAAGAUGGCGGAGGAGUAGGACGGGGAGACCACUUUCUCUCCUACAAAUUCAUCAAAAGAAUAACUGAACGCAGAGCAAACUUCGCAAAACAACUUCUGAUGCUAGCUGAGGUCAUCAGGCGCCCAGAAAAGCAGCCCAUUGUCUUCGAAAGGAGGGCUGUAUAGUUGGAGAAGUCCUGAGACUACAGGAAGAAUAAAACUGAAAUCCAGAGGCAGGAGACUUAAGCCCAAAACCUGAAAUCACCAGAAAACUCCUGACUACAUGGAACUUUAAGUAAUAAGUGACUGUCCAAAAGCCUUCAUACCUACACUGAAACCAACCACCACCCAAGAGCCAAUAAGUUUUAGAGCAAGACAUACCACGCAAAUUCUCCAGCAACGCAGGAACAUAGCCCUGAGCGUCAACAUACAGGCUGCCCAAGGUCACACCUAACACAUAGACCCAUCUCAAAACUCAUUACUGGGCACUCCAUUGCUCUCCAAAGAGAAGAAAUCAAGUUCCACGCACCAGAACACUGACGCAAGCUUCCUUAACCAGGAAACCUUGACAAGCCAAUCGUCUAACCCCACCCACUGGGUUAAUCCUCCACAAUAAAAAGGAACCACAGACCUCGAGAAUACAGAAAGCCCACUCCAGAUACAGCAAUCUAAACAAGAUGAAAAGGCAAAGAAAUACCCAACAGGUAAAAGAACAUGAAAAAUGCCCACCAAGUCAAACAAAAGAGGAGGAGAUAGGGAAUCUACCUGAAAAAGAAUUUAGAAUAAUGAUAAUAAAAAUGAUCCAAAAUCUUGUAAAGCUGAUUCACUUUGCUGUAUGGCAGAAACUAACACAACAUUGUAAAGCAAUUAUACUCCAAUAAAGAUUGUUUAAAAAGUGGCCUCAUUAGCACUGAGUUUGGCUCAGGAACCAGCAGGAACCCAGAUGUCUGUAAUAUCUUGCCAUUAAAGGGCAUAACUUGUUAGAGAUUGUAUUGCACAAAGUGCUGAUUUAAGCCCUAAGCAUAAAAGAGAGUGGAACCAAGAGAACUGAGCUGGCCAGAUACUGCAAGACCCCACCUUGUCCUCUCACUGUAGGCCGAUGGAAGCUCUGCUGAGAUAUGCUACAUUUGUCCCUGCUUUUAGUGGCACCCUCACUGCUGAGAUUUGA